ACUCUACAGUAGCCGCGCGGCCAGGGUAACCGCGGGCUCGCGUGGGUGCUGCUGGCUACCUGUACAACUUCGUGCUCCGGCGUCACCAGCUAGCUAAAUCCUCGCAACGGUUCUGGGCGAUAGGGGCCGUUUUUGUCCCCCUUCUUCAGCAGAUGAGGGAAUUUGUUUCAAAAAGUUGUUACCUGCUCACGGAAACAGACGUCCUAAGCUAUUAACACAAUCUCCAGCUGUGUUCUAACCAAGACAGGAACCGAAGGGAACAGUAAAAAAUCAUUUUCCGCAUCCUUUUUAAGAUGCUUGAUGUCCAGGACUUUGAAACAGCUGAUUUCUUUUUAACCACCUCUCAAUAGGAUUCAUGGAAAAAACUCUGACAAGCACAGAUUUCUGAAAACUUUAAGGUCAUACCACUGGACUCGAGAAAUAUUACUGAACACUUGUUCUGAAGGCUGAUCCUAGACAGCAAGACUCAGAGAAUUGAGAGAAGACAAAAACAUUCAUCUAAUCGGGGCGGCUGGGUGGGGUGAAGUGAACCCAGCCUGAUUACCCUUAGCAUCUAACUCCACAGAAACUCUGCUCUCUAUUUUCUCAAUCUUCUCCAAUUCUUUAUGAAGGGGUUCAGGAAAUGCCGCCCCAAAAUAUGGUGCUUUGGUGUAAUACUUUGAGCUGAAGACACUUGAAAACAGUAUAUGCAGGGAGACGCUUUCUCUGAACUCCCCUUAUCUGUCUAAAGAUAGAUACCGCAAAGGAACUCAAUUUGUCAUCAAUUUUCCAUCAGUGAAACUCUUCCAGGAGUUUCAUCCACCAGUGAAGCUUAUCUCAAUCACAAGAGAAGAGACUAGAAGCCCACACCACACUUAGACAAAUGUCACAAACGAUCAUCUGUUCUUCUAAGGGCCAUUCAUCUUUUCCCAAAAUCAUUUACUCUGCCUGAAAUUGGCUACAUCCCUGGCUUCCUUCUCGCCUAUGUAGAGGGUAUAUAAGCUCCUAAAUCUCCCGGUUUUUCAGGAGGCCCAUUGUCACCAGAAGUGUAUAGUUUCUAACAGAUUUAUACAUUGGAAGUUGAUUUUGCUCCUAAUUUCAACAUGCCUAAUGAAAUAAAUAAUCAAAACAGUCUAAAAUUCUUCCUCCUCUCUGCCUCCUGCAAAAAGACAGCGUCUGGUAUUGUCCACCCAAGCUGGAGUGCAGUAGUAUGAACUUGGCUCACCGCAACCUCCGCUUCCUGGGCUCAAGCCAUCCUCCCACCUCAGCCUCUCAAGUAGCUGGGACUACAAGCUCACAUAACCACACCCUACUAAUUUUUGUAUUUCUUGUAGACAUGGGUUUUCAUGUUGCCCAGGAUGGUCUCAAACUCCUGAGCUCAAGCGAUCUGCCUGCCUUGGCCCCCCAAAGUGUGGAGAUUACAGGCAUGAGCCACUGCACCUGGCUGAUUUAAUAAAAUAUCUUGUAAUCAAU
RNAcentral lists this long non-coding RNA (1452 nucleotides) under Homo sapiens (human). Its description in RNAcentral is "non-protein coding lnc-SASS6-2:6". Lineage: Eukaryota; Metazoa; Chordata; Mammalia; Primates; Hominidae. The record is from RNAcentral.